Molecule: ribosomal RNA, 459 nt
Filed under: uncultured bacterium
Lineage: Bacteria
Description: partial 16S ribosomal RNA
Rfam family: Bacterial small subunit ribosomal RNA
Source: RNAcentral
CCUACGGGAGGCAGCAGUGAGGAAUAUUGGUCAAUGGGCGCGAGCCUGAACCAGCCAAGUAGCGUGAAGGAUGACUGCCCUACGGGUUGUAAACUUCUUUUAUAAAGGAAUAAAGUGAGGCACGUGUGCCUUUUUGUAUGUACUUUAUGAAUAAGGAUCGGCUAACUCCGUGCCAGCAGCCGCGGUAAUACGGAGGAUCCGAGCGUUAUCCGGAUUUAUUGGGUUUAAAGGGAGCGUAGAUGGGUUGUUAAGUCAGUUGUGACAGUUUGCGGCUCAACCGUAAAAUUGCAAUUGAUACUGGCAGUCUUGAGGACAGGUGAGGUAGGCGGAAUUCGUGGUGUAGCCGUGAAAUGCUUAGAUAUCACGAAGAACUGCGAAUGCGAAGGCAGCUUACUAAACUGCCACUGACAUUGAUGCUCGAAAGUGUGGGUAUCAAACAGGAUUAGAUCCCGAGUAGUC